This 252-nucleotide ribosomal RNA is filed under the name uncultured bacterium. RNAcentral's name for it is "partial 16S ribosomal RNA". It matches the Rfam family "Bacterial small subunit ribosomal RNA", at positions 524 to 776 of the family's 1533-position model. The record is from RNAcentral.
UACAGAGGUCCCGAGCGUUGUUCGGAUUCACUGGGCGUAAAGGGUGCGCAGGUGGGUUUGCAAGUUUGAUGUGAAAGCCCCGGGCUUAACCCGGGAAUGGCAUUGAAUACUGCAGAUCUGGAGGAUUGGAGGGGGGACUGGAAUUCUUGGUGUAGCAGUGAAAUGCGUAGAUAUCAAGAGGAACACCAGUGGCGAAGGCGAGUCCCUGGACAAUACCUGACAUGAGGCACGAAAGCCAAGGGAGCAAACAGG